CGCCGACCUCGGGGGAGCCAUCAGGCUGAGAGGUCGCCUCCCGCGCGGGGAUGCGACGACCCCAAGAACCUGAUCCCGCUAGCACGGGCGUAGGGAAGAGGACAUGCACGGGAC
This 114-nucleotide non-coding RNA is filed under the name Oceanibaculum indicum. RNAcentral describes it as "TPP sequence". It matches the Rfam family "TPP riboswitch aptamer (THI element)". Rfam says of the family: Vitamin B(1) in its active form thiamin pyrophosphate (TPP) is an essential coenzyme that is synthesised by coupling of pyrimidine and thiazole moieties in bacteria. Lineage: Bacteria; Pseudomonadati; Pseudomonadota; Alphaproteobacteria; Rhodospirillales; Oceanibaculaceae. RNAcentral also lists the same sequence under 1 other name. The record is from RNAcentral.